RNAcentral lists this RNase P RNA (393 nucleotides) under Flavobacteriia bacterium. RNAcentral's name for it is "RNase P RNA component class A". It matches the Rfam family "Bacterial RNase P class A". Rfam says of the family: Ribonuclease P (RNase P) is a ubiquitous endoribonuclease, found in archaea, bacteria and eukarya as well as chloroplasts and mitochondria. Its best characterised activity is the generation of mature 5'-ends of tRNAs by cleaving the 5'-leader elements of precursor-tRNAs. Lineage: Bacteria; Pseudomonadati; Bacteroidota; Flavobacteriia. The record is from RNAcentral.
UCGGCAAAUCGGCCUAUCGCUGUCCCGUUUACGGGAGGGAGGAAAGUCCGGGCAGCACAGAGCAUCGUACUUCCUAACGGGAAGGGUUCGCGCAAGCGAAUACAGAAAGUGCCGCAGAAAAUAAACUACCUCAACAUGCUUGCAUCGUUGGGGAAAAGGUGAAAAGGCGAGGUAAGAGCUCACCGCUUCAACAGCGAUGUUGUUGGCAGGGUAAACCUUACGAGCUGAAAGACCAUGUAUACCGGAGCAUGUCCUGGACAUUAAGGGUUGCUCGCCCGAUUCCGGAGGGUAGGUCGAUCGACGCUGGCGGUGACGUCAGUGCUAGAUAAAUGAUAGGCAGUUGCGUCACGUGUGACAAAACGAACAGAACCCGGCUUAUGAUUUGCCUUUUUU